RNAcentral lists this ribosomal RNA (399 nucleotides) under uncultured bacterium. RNAcentral describes it as "partial 16S ribosomal RNA". It matches the Rfam family "Bacterial small subunit ribosomal RNA", at positions 338 to 734 of the family's 1533-position model. The record is from RNAcentral.
CCUACGGGAGACAGCAGUGAGGAAUAUUGGUCAAUGGGCGAAAGCCUGAACCAGCCAAGUAGCGUGAAGGAUGAGGGCGCUAUGGGGUGUAAACCUCUGUUAUAGGGGAAUAAAAUGUGGCACGUGUGGGAUUUUGUAUGUACCUUAUGAAUAAGGAUCGGCUAACUCCGUGCCAGCAGCCGCGGUAAUACGGAGGAUCCGAGCGUUAUCCGGAUUUAUUGGGGUUAAAGGGUGCGUUGGCGGCUUGUUAAGUCAGUUGUGAAAGUUUGCGGCUCAACCGUAGAAUUGCCGUUGAAACUGGCAGUCUUGAGUACAGUAGAGGUAGGCGGAAUUCGUGGUGUAGCGGUGAAAUGCUUAGAUAUCACGAAGAACUCCGAUUGCGAAGGCAGCUCACUGGAC